This 251-nucleotide ribosomal RNA is filed under the name uncultured bacterium. RNAcentral's name for it is "partial 16S ribosomal RNA". It matches the Rfam family "Bacterial small subunit ribosomal RNA", at positions 524 to 776 of the family's 1533-position model. The record is from RNAcentral.
UACGAAGGGGGCUAGCGUUGCUCGGAAUCACUGGGCGUAAAGCGCACGUAGGCGGCUUGUUAAGUCAGGGGUGAAUCCUGGAGCUCAACUCCAGAACUGCCUUUGAUACUGGCGAGCUUGAGUUCGGAGAGGUGAGUGGAACUGCGAGUGUAGAGGUGAAAUUCGUAGAUAUUCGCAAGAACACCAGUGGCGAAGGCGGCUCACUGGCCCGAUACUGACGCUGAGGUGCGAAAGCGUGGGGAGCAACAGGG